Phyllopteryx taeniolatus (common seadragon) is the source of this 4805-nucleotide long non-coding RNA. RefSeq lists it as uncharacterized. NCBI's taxonomy places the organism in Eukaryota, Metazoa, Chordata, Actinopteri, Syngnathiformes, Syngnathidae. The transcript is spliced from 4 exons. The record is from RefSeq and is a predicted model, not a curated record.
ACUCCACACAGGAAGAUUCAAACUCUCAACGUUGGAACUGUAAGGCAGCCAUGAUCUCUGCUUUUUUAUUAUGCUACACCAGCUAUUAAAGUUUCUGUAUCACUGAUAAAUCAUUAAACCAUAAUUCAUAAAGUACUAAUUGGCACUGAAAGUUUAAGUGACAGUAUAAACUGUAGCAUAUACAGAACAGUCUUGUAUAUUUGGUUAACAACAUCCUUAUUCUUACGGGCUAUGACUGUCUGAUGAGAACUAGAAUGUAGAAUGUUACCAAAAAUGAAAUCUUCAUAAAGAGAAAAAUGAUAGCAUAUGAAUACUGUACAGUAUAUUUAUUAUUCUGGUUGUACAGUACUUCUUAGUGCAUCCUCCAUUCAUUUAUUUUUUUCGAUACUGUUUAUUCUGCUUGAGAGCGCAUAAAAACUGGAGCCUAUCUAAGCUGACUUGCCCGCUUUUCCACGGCCCUGGCUUGGCACAGCUCAGUGGAGCUACUGGUUUGGUUUUCUACGUGAAAAUUGUAUUACAGGAAAUUGUGAUAAUCACGCUAUACCUAAUGUGUCAAUCGGGGGGGGGAGAUGUGGUUACAGGCAGUAGUCUUGUCGCAUUGACUUCUGAAGGCAGCAGGAAAACAGACUUCUGCACCAAAGUGGAGAAUGCGGACUAUAAUGCUGGAGCGUCACAGUAACAGGCCAGUGACCUAGUGCCUCAUCACCCCUUGCCAUACCUGGUUGGUUUCCAAGGCAGUUUGAGCCAGAGCUACAGCCUCCAUUUGGCUCCCCCUGCCUUUGAAGGAUUCUCCCCGAAUGCCUUCUGUCAACUAAAAGUUAUACAACUUUUCAGGUUUUGCUUAGUCGUACUUUUGGGUCAAUACUGGUAUUCUGACAUUUUGACUCUGUGAUUGCCUUCCAUCUGGCUCCCUACUUGUCAUGCAGAAAACAAGGUGAAAAUGUUACCCUUAUGCUGUCUGUUUAUGAAUUGAACUCUUGCAUUUUUGUUUGUUUGUUUGUUUGAAAUAGUCACAUGAGCAGUUGGAAAAGAUGCUUGAUAUUGUGACCAAAUUGCAAAAUAAUUAACACUGGCUGUGCUUUUGUACUUGUAUAAUAACCCCUCUCUCUUUGCAACCAUUUUGUUAGUGGAAGCAGUGCACCUCAGCUAGCAGUGAUGGUUAAAUAUCACAUUUAAUUAAAUCAAUUUUUAAUUGAAGACUCUAAAUUGCCCGUAGGUGUGAAUGUGAGUGCGAGUGGUUGUUUGUUGCUUUGCGAUUGGCUGACGACCAGUUCAGGGUGUAACUCUGCCUCCUGCCCCGAUGAUAGCUGGGAUAGGCUCCAGCACUCCCACGACCCUUGUGAGGAGAAGCGGCUCAGAAAAUGGAUGGAUGCAUGUUUAAAAAAUGUUUCAGAACCCUUGCUCUCGUGACUGUUAUUCAAAAAAGUGACAAGCGACAAAUGUGACUUUUUGUGGUGUUAUUGGAGACUUCUGUGUUCUCCGAGACUCCCUCCAGAGCAGGGAAUGUUCAUGCCUCCCUGUCCACACUGCAAAUGAAUGGCGCUUGCGUGACGCCAUCACUGACCUUUACAUAUUUAAAUGCAUUUUCCCUAUUUGAGGCACCCAACGAUUUCAACAAAAAAUAAAUACGUCACCUAUAAGUGUAAAAAACAAUACCAACUGACGUAACGUAUUGCAUUGGCAUUUGGCAGCUGUUUUAAUCGAGCUUCUAAUAUAAAGUGCAAAGAGAUCUGAAUGCAAGUGAAUGAGGCCUAUGCUCUAUAACAAAGGGAGCAAAUCAUUAGGUGUAGCCAAAUCAACGGUUUGGCAGUCUUAAAAAGAAAGCUUAAGAACAUCAAAGGCCUGGAAGACCUCUAAAGACAAAACUGCCUCACCAACAGAAGUCAAAAAUACUCUCCAAAAGGUCGCCAUGUCAUUGUCAAUGUCUACAAUCAAGAGAUGCCAUCAUGAAUGCAAAUGUCAAGGGUGUACAACCCACUGGUAGUAUUAAGAAUAGAAAAUAAAAUGGUAAAUACACUUCAAUCUCAUUUUGAUUGUUACAUUUCAAAUCCAUUGUGGUUGUGUCCGUCCAUCCAUCCAUUUUCUACCGCUUAUCCGAGUUCGGGUCGCGGGGGCAGUAGCUUUAGCAGGGACGCCCAGACUUCCCUCUCCCCAGCCACUUCAUCCAGCUCUUCCGGGGGGAUCCCAAGGCGUUCCCAGGCCAGCCGAAGGAUGUAGUCUCUCCAGCGUGUCCUGGGUCGUCCCCGGGGUCUCCUCCCGAUGGGACGUGCCCAGAACGCCUUUCCGGGUAGGCGUCCGGGAGGCAUCCGAAUUAGAUGCCCCAGCCACCCCAUCUGGCUCCUCUCGAUGUGGAGGAGCAGCGGCUCUACUCUGAGAUCCUCCCGGAUGACCGAGCUUCUCACCCUAUCUCUAAGGGAGAGCCCGGACACCCUGCGGAGGAAACUCAUUUUGGCCGCUUACCAGGGAGGCUGAGGAGUGUGAUCCCCCUGUAGUUGGAACACACCCUCCGGUCCCCCUUCUUAAAAAGGGGGACCACCACCUCAGUCUGCCAAUCAAGAGGGACUGUCCCCGAUGUCCACGCGAUGUUGCAGAGGCGUGUUAACCAGGACAGCCCUACAACAUCCAGAGCCUUGAGGAACUCCGGGCGAAUCUCAUCCACUCCCUGGGGCCUUGCCACCGAGGAGCUUUUUAACCACCUCGCUGACCUCAUCCCCAGAGAUAGGAGAGUCCGCCUCAGAAAACCCAGACUCUGCUCCCUCAUGGGAAGGCGUGUCGGUGGAAUUGAGGAGGUCUUCGAAGUAUUCUCCCCACCGGCUCACAACGUCCCGAGUCGAGGUCAGCAGCGCCCCAUCCCCACUAUACACAGUGUUGAUGGUGCACUGCUCCCCCCCACCCCCUUUUGGUGCAUAGGCACAAACAACAGUCUGGACCCGUCCCCCCAUCCGAAGGCGGAGGGAGGCUACUCUCUCGUCCACCGGGGUGAACCCCAACGUACAGGCACCGAGCCGGGGAGCAAUAAGUAUACCCACACCUGCUCGGCGCCUCUCACCGUGGGCAACUCCAGAGUGGAAGAGAGUCCAACCCCUCUCGAGAGGACUGCUACCAGAGCCCAAGCUGUGCGUGGAGGCGAGUCCGAUUGUAUCUAGUCGGAACUUCUCGACCUCACACACCAGCUCGGGCUCCUUCCCUGCCAGAGAGGUGAAAUUCCACGUCCCUAGAGCCAGCUUCUGUAGCCGGGGAUCGGAUCGCCAAGGUCCCACCCUUCGGCCACCGCCCAGCUCGCACUGCACCCAACCCCUAUUGCCCCUCCCACAGGUGGUGAGCCCUUGUUAAGGGGGACCCACGUUACCCUUUCGCGCUGUGCCCAGCCGGGCCCCAUGGGUGUAGGCCCAGUCACAGGCGCUCGCCUUCGAGCCCCACCUCCAGGCCUGGCUCCAGAGGGGGGCCCCGGUGACCCGCGUCCGGGCAAGGGAAACCUGAGUCCAUUUUUUAUCGUCAUCAUAAGGGGUCUUUGAGCCGUGCACAUCACGCCUUGGAGAUCCCACCCUGAACUCAAAUACAAAUAAACCAUUCUGCAUGACUUCUUCCGCCUCCAUCUGCUUCUGGGUCCAGUCAACAUCAAUACUAUUAUAUCGUGACAAUAUUUAUAUAUAAUUUUUUUUACCUCCUAAGUGAGCUGCUUCUCCCCACUGGGGUCGCGGGCGUGCUGGAGCCUAUCCCAGCUGUCAUCGGGCAGGAGGCGGGGUACACCCUGACCUGGUUGCCAGCCAAUCGCAGGGCACAUACAAACAAACAACCAUUCACACUCACAGUCACACCUAUGGGCAAUUUAGAGACUCCAAUUAAUGCAUGUUUUUGGGAUGUGGGAGGAAACCGGAGUGCCCGGAGAAAACCCACGCAGGCACGGGGAGAACAUGCAAAAUCCACACAGGCGGGGAUUGAACCCAGGUCCUCAGAACUGUGAGGCUGACGCUCUAACCAGUCGUGCACCGUGCCACCCGAAUACUCGCAUUCAGCAGGAAAUGCAACCAGAGGAUGGCUGAUUUUUCUUCUUGCGGAGGUUCAAAUGUUUUCCAUAUUGUUGGACUCUAAAUGGAUGCAGGAAAUGCUGUCACUCCAGUCUGCUUUCCAAACUUCCAGAAUGAGGUUUUGGCUGCGGCAGAUGCCAGUGCAGUAAAUUCCAGCGCAACACCGACCCAGCUCAGGUUUCUUCCUGUUGGUAGAGAGACUCCACCCUCGCUUGGUUCUUCAGAUGAAAUGAGUUGAUUUGAAUCUGUUCGGGUUGUAUUGAGAAGACUCUAUGCAUGUUGCUUAGGUGACCUGCGGACAUCAUUUGACGGUUGAAAUGUUGACCAGACAUGCACACGAAGACUGUUGUGAAAAUUAGGACAAACGUGAAUCUGAAUAGUCUCCGGGUUUUAUGCAAACAAAAGGGAAAAGAGUGUACAUAUGCAUUGAUUUAGGGUAGCAAUUACCUAAUUGUAUUGCCUUCAUCUUGACAACAAGCCAAAUGUGUGCAAUGUUUUUUUUCAUCAGUCUGUUUUAUGAAUUCUCAUUUUUGCUGUCUUCAAAUAAAACAAACUGUAAAUAAUCAGAGAAGGACCAGAGAUGAAGCCUUUGGAGAAACAAUCUUGAUAGAUAAUUAUUUCCAUGGAGAAAAGGCCAGGCCAAUUUUAAAUAUGACAACCCAAACUGCUUGAGUAAUUUAUAUUGCCUCCUUUAUCACAUUUUAUGUCUUAAUUUCUCUCUAUUCUUCCACACUGAUGUUAUUCCACAUUUCAAAAUGAUGUACUAUUUGAAGUAUU